RNAcentral lists this long non-coding RNA (1489 nucleotides) under Anolis carolinensis (green anole). Its description in RNAcentral is "lncRNA (ENSACAG00000039613.1)". Lineage: Eukaryota; Metazoa; Chordata; Lepidosauria; Squamata; Anolidae. The record is from RNAcentral.
GGGCUGUAUAUGCACACAUGCAAAUAUCUCAAUAAAAAUAUAAGCAGAUUCACAUGAGGUUCAACACAUAACGAAAUGGAUUAAAAAAAAUAAAACUUCAGCCAGAUUUUCUCCCUUUCUCUGAUUGUUUAUUCAAGCUCUGAUUAAUAUUAGAAACUGUGAAAUAAAGAGUUCCAUAGAGUUAUAAUUGCUCUCUGUUCAUGCUUCCUUUAAAUCAGCUGUGUGUCUGUUUCACAGCCCGAUCAGCCGAUCAGCUGUUUCAGGCUUUUAAAAGGUGGGCAUGUGCUGAAGUAGUCUUCACAGGGAGGAGAGGAAGUUAAGUGUUUUUGGUGACUGCAGGGAUAUACAGUGAUGCAAAUAUGCAUUUUCUGGCUGGAAUCAGGAUAAAAGGGCACCUUUUUGUCCCAUGUUUUUGGCCAUUGUAAUGAUUCAGUGUGCAUUUAGCAGUAACGUUAUGUAGCCAUCCCCCUUUUAAACUCAGGAAAUCCCAUGUUUAAGUGCUGUGUAAUUAGGCUCUCAAGGAACCAGAACACACAAGUAAUUGUUAUGUGAUGCUCAGGAGAAAAUGUGGAGGGAGAAAAUAAAAUGAAAUCCAAAAAUAUAAACCACAUGUGUACAGAAUGGAAAGAGAAAUGCACUAUUCAAGUGCUUUUGUCAUACUAUCUACACCCAGUCCCUCCUUGGAGAUGGAUGAAGGACAACACGGAGUUACGGUUUUCCACUCAAAUAUAUAUUUAUAUUAAUAUGUGGCUGAGCAGAAGCAUUUCUAUAAAGAAAGUUGAAAGUUUGAAAGUUGCAGUCUAAAAUCAUUAAAGUAGAACUAUUGAACUAAUUGUAUAACUAUGAGAAUAUAUAAGGAAGUCAAUCUGAUUAAAUGAAUCUACUUUAAUCAGGACUAAAAUAGUCCCUGGUUUCCCUGUAUUGUUGAAGAUCAUAUCUUAACUUGUUUUUCAGAAGUUUAAUGAAAAGUGCCUUGGGAAAUAAAAUUAGAUAUAAAAGAGUUUGUGUUACUGGAGGAGGCUUCUGGGAUCCAUGAGUCUUCAUUUUUCAAAAAAGAGGUAUUUCCUUUAACUAACAGAAGACAGUGGGGAGCCACACAAAAUCUCUCAUAGGAUACACAUAUCCUGCUCAGACAAUUCCCAUCCUUAAUGAUACUUCAUAGCAAGGAGAAAAUAAUGCAGCCCUCCAUAAUUUGGUCUCAUUCCCAUUUUCUCUGAUCAUUUAUUAUAUUGGCUAGAGCUGCUGUAAUUUGUAGUACAACAGCAUCUGGAGGACUUCAUAACUCCCACCCUAUUCUACAGUUAUAGGACUUCAUCCCACCUCCCCAGUUUCUAAACAUUUAGAAUCCUUUGAGGCUGGGAUUUAUAGAAUCAUGGAAUCAUAGAAUAGUAGAGUUGGAAGAGACCUCAUGGGCCAUCCAGUCCAACCCCCUGCCAAGAAGCAGGAAAUCGUAUUCAAAGCACCCCCGACAGAUGGCCAUCCAGCCUCU